ACCCUCUCAGGGUCACACCUGAGGAGUUUCCAGUACUCUGGCAGGCUUGACUUUGAGAGGGAGAGUCAAGCAGAGGCCUAUCCAUUCCAUUCCCAGCUUGGGCAGUGACUAGAAAGUGGAAGACAAUCUGCUACAAGU
Molecule: non-coding RNA, 138 nt
Organism: Ornithorhynchus anatinus (platypus)
Lineage: Eukaryota; Metazoa; Chordata; Mammalia; Monotremata; Ornithorhynchidae
Source: Rfam